Molecule: non-coding RNA, 569 nt
Organism: Puma concolor (puma)
Lineage: Eukaryota; Metazoa; Chordata; Mammalia; Carnivora; Felidae
Source: RefSeq, a predicted model, not a curated record
GUCCGGAUGUGGGAAGUCAAGGCGGCCCGACGCGCAACUUAGUGAAAAAGGCACAGCGAGAGGGGCUUGAGAAGGAUUAUCCAGCAGACCUGGGGUUACUACUCCAUUGUCUUUCACCUCCUCCUGAUAUUUAAAAACAACAACAACAACAACUGAGAAGAGGAGUCUUUUGAAGGAACAAAGUGUUCACUUUCUCUCUUCAUCUCCUCCAUUGAAGGAAAGAGAAGGAGGUCCAAGAGAAUCGUUCAUAGACUUGGGAGUGGCGAAGGAAAGGCAGACUGACUCUUUAUUCCCUGGUUGAAUAUCUGCUUAUAUAGCAGAGCUGAUGAACUACCUCUGAGCUGUCAGUGGACCACACACUACUUCGGGACUUCAUGUAAACUCACCUUCAAAGUAUUGCCACAUGUUGCCAAGGACAACUGGUUGAGCCAUUGCCGCAUUUGGCGAGCCAUGCGGUCUAAAACUUGACAACAGCAGCCCAUGGGAGUAUGUGUUUCUAAAUUGCACAAGGACUCUGUCAGCUCACCAGAGAACAAGCAGGAGAGGGGCAGAGAGAGAGAGAGAGAGAG